RNAcentral lists this ribosomal RNA (495 nucleotides) under uncultured bacterium. RNAcentral describes it as "partial 16S ribosomal RNA". It matches the Rfam family "Bacterial small subunit ribosomal RNA", at positions 28 to 507 of the family's 1533-position model. The record is from RNAcentral.
GACGAACGCUGGCGGCGUGCCUAAUACAUGCAAGUAGAACGCUGAAGGAGGAGCUUGCUUCUCCGGAUGAGUUGCGAACGGGUGAGUAACGCGUAGGUAACCUGCCUGGUAGCGGGGGAUAACUAUUGGAAACGAUAGCUAAUACGGCAUAACAGUAGAUGUUGCAUGACAUUUGCUUAAAAGGUGCAAUUGCAUCACUACCAGAUGGACCUGCGUUGUAUUAGCUAGUUGGUGAGGUAACGGCUCACCAAGGCGACGAUACAUAGCCGACCUGAGAGGGUGAUCGGCCACACUGGGACUGAGACACGGCCCAGACUCCUACGGGAGGCAGCAGUAGGGAAUCUUCGGCAAUGGACGGAAGUCUGACCGAGCAACGCCGCGUGAGUGAAGAAGGUUUUCGGAUCGUAAAGCUCUGUUGUAAGAGAAGAACGAGUGUGAGAGUGGAAAGUUCACACUGUGACGGUAUCUUACCAGAAAGGGACGGCUAACUACGUG